RNAcentral lists this long non-coding RNA (1593 nucleotides) under Gopherus agassizii (Agassiz's desert tortoise). RNAcentral describes it as "lncRNA (ENSGAGG00000001565.1)". Lineage: Eukaryota; Metazoa; Chordata; Testudines; Testudinidae. The record is from RNAcentral.
GGUGAAGAGAGACUGAGCAUCUGUAUGCAGACUUACUGCCCUCAAACUCCCAGAAACAUGGGGUGGCAUUUCCUCAAUGAAAUGCUAGAGUGCUAUUGAGGGAGCACUGUGGAGGCGUACCUGAUUUUUCCCUUUAUCCAGUUUAUCCUAACAUCAUAUCCCCACCUCUUAUUCUCUCUGAGCUCAGCCCGUCUUCAGUGAUCUCCUCUCUGCCUUUGAAGAGGAUAAGGAAUUGCACAACUUCGAGCUCCGGGGCAAGAACUAUAGCGUGGAUUUGAAGAGGUUUGUGCAACAUAGCAUGGAACGGGGAUACGUUCGCCACAUCCAGCGCCGGCCUUCCUACCGAUCACUCCUCAGUAUGAUGCCAUACCUGCAGAUGAUCUCAAGUAAAGCCAGUAUACCCUCUUGUCCUACUCAUGACAUCCCUGGGGAAGAUCCCACGGAUGGUUACUAUGGUCCAUACCCUGCUGCUUGGAUUCCACAGCCAACUGUUGAUCAGGCUUUCCUGCAAAUGGAGGUGACGCCAUCAGAAGCUGCAUACCGCUCUACUUGUGUUCUCUUCCACCAGUCUCUUCCAGAGGAUGAGGUCCUGGUGCUGGCAAUUUACAGGAUCCGGAACGAAGAUCUCUGGCAAAGAUAUACUAAGUAAAAAGAGAAGUGGAUGUAGUUAGAGACAACAGCCUUGGAGUGUGAAUUGCAGUGCUUGUGCCCAGGGUUAAGCAUCCCACCAUCCUCAGAGGUUGGGAAUAUGAAUGUGGAGCUAGAGGGUGUGGCUCCUACACACAGAGGCAGGGACUGUGAAUGUCGAUGCCAUCAAAGGAUAGGACUGUGAAUCCUAGUGCUAGUGCCACAGAACCCAUUGUGUUAGAGUGUCCCAGCUUCCUAGAUACUUAUGUGGUCCCCCUCACCACAGUAUUUGAGCAUAUCACUAUUUUUAAAUGUAUUUAUCCUCACAACAUCCCUGUGAGGCAGUCAAGUGCUGUUAUUCACAUUUUAUAAAUGAGGAACUGAGACCCUGAUCCACAAAGAUAUUUAGUUUCUUAGCUUCCACUGAUUUCAGUGGAAGGUAGGGGCCUAAUUACCUUUGUGGAUCUUGGCCUAAAUGAUUUCUCCAACAUCAUACAGGAAGUACGUGGCAGAGCAAGUCCACAGUCUCAGACUAGCACCCUAAGCACUGGAUUAUCUUUCUUUCCAUGUGAACAGGAAUACUGUUAUCAGUCUUCUAGGCUUUGGUUCCCGCUACACUCGGAGACUGAGAGCAAAAAUCUUACUACUGUUGCUUUGAACUGUGGGUCCCAGUGCAUGAAAGCAAACAUAUUUGUUCAUUAACAGGCACUUUCUUGUGCAUUAAUUGGUUGCUUCAUCUACACCAGAGUGUGCUUCUCUCUGCACUGCGUGAAUCCUAGUGCCCUGCUGUAGGUACAAAUAGUGCAUAUUGAUUUGAUGAGUGAACAGUUGUGCAUUACUGGAUGGUGCACUCAUCUAUGAGUGCACAUUGUUGCAUGUCUCCAUCCACGAUGGCUUAAUUAGUGUGUUAAGGCAUGGAUUUUGUGGGUAGAUGUUUAUUUGAGUGCUUUGAGUUCUCAGUUGGAG